GUGACCUCGGAUCGGGUAGGUUAUAAAUGUGC
This 32-nucleotide ribosomal RNA is filed under the name Schizothyrium wisconsinense. RNAcentral's name for it is "partial 28S ribosomal RNA". The record is from RNAcentral. Lineage: Eukaryota; Fungi; Ascomycota; Dothideomycetes; Mycosphaerellales; Schizothyriaceae.